AUCAUUUCCCCCCCCAAAAAAAUCUAUUCUUAUCAGUUUAAUAUCUGAUACGUCCCCUAUCUGGGGACCAUAUAUUAAAUUGAUUUUUGGAACAGGGAGAUGGAAUAGGGGCUUGCUUCGUCCACUCUAUGUAUCGACCUGGUAUUACAGUACUUCCAGGAACGGUGCACCCGCC
RNAcentral lists this small nuclear RNA (175 nucleotides) under Salmo salar (Atlantic salmon). RNAcentral describes it as "U2 spliceosomal RNA (ENSSSAG00000108348.1)". It matches the Rfam family "U2 spliceosomal RNA". From Rfam's summary of the family: U2 is a small nuclear RNA (snRNA) component of the spliceosome (involved in pre-mRNA splicing). Lineage: Eukaryota; Metazoa; Chordata; Actinopteri; Salmoniformes; Salmonidae. The record is from RNAcentral.